GACGAACGCUGGCGGCGUGCUUAACACAUGCAAGUCAAACGGUGACCUCGGAGCUUGCUCCGGGCGAUCAGUGGCAAACGGGUGAGUAACACGUGACCAACCUGCCCCUAACUCUGGGAUAACCCCGGGAAACCGGAGCUAAUACCGGAUACAAGACCGAGUGACAUCACACGGUCUGGAAAGUUUUUCGGUUAGGGAUGGGGUCGCGGCCUAUCAGCUUGUUGGUGGGGUAAUGGCCUACCAAGGCAACAACGGGUAGCCGGCCUGAAAGGGCGACCGGCCACACUGGGACUGAAACACGGCCCAAACUCCUACGGGAGGCAGCAGUGGGGAAUAUUGGGCAAUGGGCGAAAGCCUGACCCAGCGACCCCGCGUGAGGGAUGACGGCCUUCGGGUUGUAAACCUCUUUCAGCAGGGAAAAAGCGAAAGUGACGGUACCUGCAAAAAAAGCACCGGCUAACUACGUG
This 467-nucleotide ribosomal RNA is filed under the name uncultured bacterium. Its description in RNAcentral is "bacterial SSU rRNA". It matches the Rfam family "Bacterial small subunit ribosomal RNA", at positions 28 to 507 of the family's 1533-position model. The record is from RNAcentral.